RNAcentral lists this ribosomal RNA (583 nucleotides) under uncultured bacterium. Its description in RNAcentral is "bacterial SSU rRNA". It matches the Rfam family "Bacterial small subunit ribosomal RNA", at positions 102 to 683 of the family's 1533-position model. The record is from RNAcentral.
ACGGGUGCGGAACACGUACGCAACCUUCCUUCAAGCGGGGCAUAGCUUUCGGAAACGAAAAUUAAUACCCCAUAGUAAUAUCUGAGGGCAUCUGAGGAUAUUUAAAGAUUUAUCACUUGAAGAUGGGCGUGCGCCUGAUUAGGUAGUUGGCGGGGUAACGGCCCACCAAGCCUACGAUCAGUAACUGGUGUGAGAGCACGACCAGUCACACGGGCACUGAGACACGGGCCCGACUCCUACGGGAGGCAGCAGUAAGGAAUAUUGGUCAAUGGACGCAAGUCUGAACCAGCCAUGCCGCGUGGAGGAUGAAGGUCCUCUGGAUUGUAAACUUCUUUUAUCGGAGAAGAAACCCCCGAGUUCUCUUGGGGUUGACGGUACCCGAUGAAUAAGCACCGGCUAACUCCGUGCCAGCAGCCGCGGUAAUACGGAGGGUGCAAGCGUUAUCCGGAUUCACUGGGUUUAAAGGGAGCGUAGGUGGGCUGGUAAGUCAGUGGUGAAAUCUCCGGGCUUAACUCGGAAACUGCCGUUGAUACUAUCAGUCUUGAAUGUUGUGGAGGUAAGCGGAAUAUGUCAUGUAGCGGUG